CCCUUAGAGUUUGAUCAUGGCUCAGAUUGAACGCUGGCGGCAUGCCUUACACAUGCAAGUCGAACGGUAACAGGGAGCUUGCUCCGCUGACGAGUGGCGAACGGGUGAGUAAUACAUCGGAACGUGCCCAGUAAUGGGGGAUAGCUCGGCGAAAGCCGGAUUAAUACCGCAUACGCCCUGAGGGGGAAAGUGGGGGACCGCAAGGCCUCACGUUAUUGGAGCGGCCGAUGGCUGAUUAGCUAGUUGGUAGGGUAAAGGCCUACCAAGGCGACGAUCAGUAGCUGGUCUGAGAGGACGAUCAGCCACACUGGGACUGAGACACGGCCCAGACUCCUACGGGAGGCAGCAGUGGGGAAUUUUGGACAAUGGGGGAAACCCUGAUCCAGCAAUGCCGCGUGUGCGAAGAAGGCCUUCGGGUUGUAAAGCACUUUUGUCAGGGAAGAAAUCCUUUGGGCUAAUACCCUAGGGGGAUGACGGUACCUGAAGAAUAAGCACCGGCUAACUACGUGCCAGCAGCCGCGGUAAUACGUAGGGUGCAAGCGUUAAUCGGAAUUACUGGGCGUAAAGCGUGCGCAGGCGGUUGUGUAAGACAGGUGUGAAAUCCCCGGGCUCUUAACCUGGGAAUUGCAUUUGUGACUGCACGACUAGAGUGUGUCAGAGGGGGGGUGGAAUUCCACGUGUAGCAGUGAAAUGCGUAGAUAUGUGGAGGAACACCAAUGGCGAAAGGCAGCCCCCUGGGAUAACACUGACGCUCAUGCACGAAAGCGUGGGGAGCAAACAGG
This 782-nucleotide ribosomal RNA is filed under the name uncultured bacterium. RNAcentral describes it as "bacterial SSU rRNA". It matches the Rfam family "Bacterial small subunit ribosomal RNA", at positions 1 to 776 of the family's 1533-position model. The record is from RNAcentral.